GCCGCCUUAGCUCAGUUGGUAGAGCUAUUCACUUGUAAUGAAUAGGUCCUCGGUUCGAGUCCGGGAGGCGGCUCCA
RNAcentral lists this transfer RNA (76 nucleotides) under Gemmatimonadota bacterium. RNAcentral describes it as "Gemmatimonadetes bacterium tRNA-Thr". It matches the Rfam family "tRNA". From Rfam's summary of the family: Transfer RNA (tRNA) molecules are approximately 80 nucleotides in length. Lineage: Bacteria; Pseudomonadati; Gemmatimonadota. The record is from RNAcentral.